Molecule: ribosomal RNA, 253 nt
Filed under: uncultured bacterium
Lineage: Bacteria
Description: partial 16S ribosomal RNA
Rfam family: Bacterial small subunit ribosomal RNA
Source: RNAcentral
UACAGAGGGUGCGAGCGUUAAUCGGAAUUACUGGGCGUAAAGCGCGCGUAGGCGGCUUUGCAAGUCGGGUGUGAAAUCCCCAGGCUUAACCUGGGAACUGCAUUCGAGACUGCAUUGCUAGAGUAUGGGAGAGGGAAGUGGAAUUUCCGGUGUAGCGGUGAAAUGCGUAGAUAUCAGGAGGAACACCGAUGGCGAAGGCAGCUGCCUGGCCUAGAACUGACGCUGAGGUGCGAAAGCGUGGGGAGCGAACAGG